Molecule: ribosomal RNA, 253 nt
Filed under: uncultured bacterium
Lineage: Bacteria
Description: partial 16S ribosomal RNA
Rfam family: Bacterial small subunit ribosomal RNA
Source: RNAcentral
GACAGAGGUGCCAAGCGUUAGGCGGAAUCACUGGGCUUAAAGCGCGUGUAGGCGGCCCUGCAAGUCGGAUGUGAAAUCCCACGGCUCAACCGUGGAAGUGCAUUCGAAACUGCAGGGCUAGAGUCCUGGAGAGGAAGGUGGAAUGCUUGGUGUAGAGGUGAAAUUCGUAGAUAUCUGGAGGAACACCGGUGGCGAAGGCGGCAUCCUGGACCGGUAUUGACGCUGAGGCGCGAAAGCCAGGGGAGCAAACGGG